AUUGAACGCUAGCGGGAUGCUUUACACAUGCAAGUCGAACGGCAGCGCGGACUUCGGUCUGGAGGCGAGUGGCGAACGGGUGAGUAAUGUAUCGGAACGUGCCCAGUAGCGGGGGAUAACUACGCGAAAGCGUAGCUAAUACCGCAUACGCCCUACGGGGGAAAGCAGGGGAUCGUAAGACCUUGCACUAUUGGAGCGGCUGAUAUCGGAUUAGCUAGUUGGUGAGGUAACGGCUCACCAAGGCGACGAUCCGUAGCUGGUGUGAGAGGACGACCAGCCACACUGGGACUGAGACACGGCCCAGACUCCGACGGGAGGCAGCGGUGGGGAAUGUUGGACGAUGGGGGCAACCCUGAACCAGCCAUGCCGCGUGGGCGAUGAAGGCCUUCGGGUUGUAAAGCACUUUUGGCAGGAAAGAAACGUCGCAGGCUAAUACCCCGUGGAACUGACGGUACCUGCAGAAUAAGCACCGGCUAACUACGUG
RNAcentral lists this ribosomal RNA (484 nucleotides) under uncultured bacterium. RNAcentral describes it as "partial 16S ribosomal RNA". It matches the Rfam family "Bacterial small subunit ribosomal RNA", at positions 29 to 507 of the family's 1533-position model. The record is from RNAcentral.